CAGGCUUAACACAUGCAAGUCGAGGGGCAGCAUGGUCUUAGCUUGCUAAGGCCGAUGGCGACCGGCGCACGGGUGAGUAACACGUAUCCAACCUGCCGUCUACUCUUGGACAGCCUUCUGAAAGGAAGAUUAAUACAAGAUGGCAUCAUGAGUCCGCAUGUUCACAUGAUUAAAGGUAUUCCGGUAGACGAUGGGGAUGCGUUCCAUUAGAUAGUAGGCGGGGUAACGGCCCACCUAGUCUUCGAUGGAUAGGGGUUCUGAGAGGAAGGUCCCCCACAUUGGAACUGAGACACGGUCCAAACUCCUACGGGAGGCAGCAGUGAGGAAUAUUGGUCAAUGGGCGAGAGCCUGAACCAGCCAAGUAGCGUGAAGGAUGACUGCCCUAUGGGUUGUAAACUUCUUUUAUAAAGGAAUAAAGUCGGGUAUGGAUACCCGUUUGCAUGUACUUUAUGAAUAAGGAUCGGCUAACUCCGUGCCAGCAGCCGCGGUAAUACGGAGGAUCCGAGCGUUAUCCGGAUUUAUUGGGUUUAAAGGGAGCGUAGAUGGAUGUUUAAGUCAGUUGUGAAAGUUUGCGGCUCAACCGUAAAAUUGCAGUUGAUACUGGAUAUCUUGAGUGCAGUUGAGGCAGGCGGAAUUCGUGGUGUAGCGGUGAAAUGCUUAGAUAUCACGAAGAACUCCGAUUGCGAAGGCAGCCUGCUAAGCUGCAACUGACAUUGAGGCUCGAAAGUGUGGGUAUCAAACAGGAUUAGAUACCCUGGUAGUCCACACGGUAAACGAUGAAUACUCGCUGUUUGCGAUAUACUGCAAGCGGCCAAGCGAAAGCGUUAAGUAUUCCACCUGGGGAGUACGCCGGCAACGGUGAAACUCAAAGGAAUUGACGGGGGCCCGCACAAGCGGAGGAACAUGUGGUUUAAUUCGAUGAUACGCGAGGAACCUUACCCGGGCUUAAAUUGCAGAUGAAUUACGGUGAAAGCCGUAAGCCGCAAGGCAUCUGUGAAGGUGCUGCAUGGUUGUCGUCAGCUCGUGCCGUGAGGUGUCGGCUUAAGUGCCAUAACGAGCGCAACCCUUGUUGUCAGUUACUAACAGGUUCCGCUGAGGACUCUGACAAGACUGCCAUCGUAAGAUGUGAGGAAGGUGGGGAUGACGUCAAAUCAGCACGGCCCUUACGUCCGGGGCUACACACGUGUUACAAUGGGGGGUACAGAGGGCCGCUACCACGCGAGUGGAUGCCAAUCCCCAAAACCUCUCUCAGUUCGGACUGGAGUCUGCAACCCGACUCCACGAAGCUGGAUUCGCUAGUAAUCGCGCAUCAGCCACGGCGCGGUGAAUACGUUCCCGGGCCUUGUACACACCGCCCGUCAAGCCAUGGGAGCCGGGGGUACCUGAAGUGCGUAACCGCGAGGAGCGCCCUAGGGUAAAACUGGUGACUGGGGCUAAG
Molecule: ribosomal RNA, 1438 nt
Filed under: uncultured organism
Description: SSU rRNA
Rfam family: Bacterial small subunit ribosomal RNA
Source: RNAcentral